UGGGGAAUCUUGGACAAUGGGGGCAACCCUGAUCCAGCCAUGCCGCGUGAGUGAUGAAGGCCUUAGGGUCGUAAAGCUCUUUCGCCUGUGAAGAUAAUGACGGUAGCAGGUAAAGAAACCCCGGCUAACUCCGUGCCAGCAGCCGCGGUAAUACGGAGGGGGUUAGCGUUGUUCGGAAUUACUGGGCGUAAAGCGCACGUAGGCGGACCAGAAAGUUGGGGGUGAAAUCCCGGGGGCUCAACCCCGGAACUGCCUCCAAAACUAUUGGUCUAGAGUUCGAGAGAGGUGAGUGGAAUUCCAAGUGUAGAGGUGAAAUUCGUAGAUAUUUGGAGGAACACCAGUGGCGAAGGCGGCUCACUGGCUCGAUACUGACGCUGAGGUGCGAAAGUGUGGGGAGCAAACAGGAUUAGAUACCCUGGUAGUCCACACCGUAAAACGAUGAAUGCCAGUCGUCGGGUAGCAUGCUAUUCGGUGACACACCUAACGGAUUAAGCAUUCCGCC
RNAcentral lists this ribosomal RNA (502 nucleotides) under uncultured bacterium. Its description in RNAcentral is "bacterial SSU rRNA". It matches the Rfam family "Bacterial small subunit ribosomal RNA", at positions 355 to 873 of the family's 1533-position model. The record is from RNAcentral.